This 44-nucleotide transfer RNA is filed under the name Uperoleia micromeles (Tanami toadlet). RNAcentral describes it as "partial tRNA-Ala". RNAcentral also lists the same sequence under 2 other names. Lineage: Eukaryota; Metazoa; Chordata; Amphibia; Anura; Myobatrachidae. The record is from RNAcentral.
UGGGUUGCAUUCAGGUGAUGUAGGGUAGUAUCCUGCAAGUCUUA